UACGUAGGUGGCAAGCGUUGUCCGGAUUUACUGGGCGUAAAGGGCGUGCAGGCGGUCUACUAAGUCUAGGGUGAAAGCUCCCGGCUCAACUGGGAGAGGUCCUUGGAUACUGGUGGACUUGAGGGAUGCAGAGGAAAGUGGGAUUCCCGGUGUAGUGGUGAUAUGCGUAGAUAUCGGGAGGAACACCAGUGGCGAAGGCGGCUUUCUGGGCAUUUCCUGACGCUGAGGAGCGAAAGCGUGGGGAGCGAACAGG
This 253-nucleotide ribosomal RNA is filed under the name uncultured bacterium. Its description in RNAcentral is "partial 16S ribosomal RNA". It matches the Rfam family "Bacterial small subunit ribosomal RNA", at positions 524 to 776 of the family's 1533-position model. The record is from RNAcentral.